RNAcentral lists this ribosomal RNA (320 nucleotides) under uncultured bacterium. RNAcentral's name for it is "bacterial SSU rRNA". It matches the Rfam family "Bacterial small subunit ribosomal RNA", at positions 470 to 789 of the family's 1533-position model. The record is from RNAcentral.
UGACGGUAGCCAAGGAGGAAGCCCCGGCUAACUACGUGCCAGCAGCCGCGGUAAUACGUAGGGGGCAAGCGUUGUCCGGAAUGACUGGGCGUAAAGGGCGUGUAGGCGGCCGAUUAAGUCUGAAGUGAAAGUCCUGCUUUCAAGGUGGGAAUUGCUUUGGAGACUGGUUGGCUUGAGUGCGGAAGAGGUAAGUGGAAUUCCCAGUGUAGCGGUGAAAUGCGUAGAGAUUGGGAGGAACACCAGUGGCGAAGGCGACUUACUGGGCCGUAACUGACGCUGAGGCGCGAAAGCGUGGGUAGCAAACAGGAUUAGAUACCCUG